CCCAUCCCGAACACGGAAGAUAAGCUCGCCUGCGUUACGGUGAGUACUGGAGUGGGCGACCCUCUGGGAAACUCGUUUCGCCGCCUCCA
Molecule: ribosomal RNA, 89 nt
Filed under: Natronorubrum thiooxidans
Lineage: Archaea; Methanobacteriati; Methanobacteriota; Halobacteria; Halobacteriales; Natrialbaceae
Source: RNAcentral